Molecule: non-coding RNA, 108 nt
Organism: Acanthosepion pharaonis
Lineage: Eukaryota; Metazoa; Mollusca; Cephalopoda; Sepiida; Sepiidae
Source: the annotation of a GenBank genome assembly
UUAUAUCACACUGAAACACCAGUUCUCAUAUGAUCACCUAAGUUAAGCCAUAUCAUGCCUGGUCAGUACCUAGAUGGGUGAUCAUUUGGGAAUACCAGAUGCUGUAAG